Molecule: ribosomal RNA, 492 nt
Filed under: uncultured bacterium
Lineage: Bacteria
Description: partial 16S ribosomal RNA
Rfam family: Bacterial small subunit ribosomal RNA
Source: RNAcentral
AGUGAACGCUGGCGGUAGACCUAACACAUGCAAGUCGAACGGCAGCACAGUAAGAGCUUGCUCUUACGGGUGGCGAGUGGCGGACGGGUGAGGAAUACAUCGGAAUCUACUUUUUCGUGGGGGAUAACGUAGGGAAACUUACGCUAAUACCGCAUACGACCUACGGGUGAAAGCAGGGGAUCUUCGGACCUUGCGCGAUUGAAUGAGCCGAUGUCGGAUUAGCUAGUUGGCGGGGUAAAGGCCCACCAAGGCGACGAUCCGUAGCUGGUCUGAGAGGAUGAUCAGCCACACUGGAACUGAGACACGGUCCAGACUCCUACGGGAGGCAGCAGUGGGGAAUAUUGGACAAUGGGCGCAAGCCUGAUCCAGCCAUACCGCGUGGGUGAAGAAGGCCUUCGGGUUGUAAAGCCCUUUUGUUGGGAAAGAAAAGCAGCAGGUUGAUACCCCGCUGUUCUGACGGUACCCAAAGAAUAAGCACCGGCUAACUUCGUG